Molecule: long non-coding RNA, 580 nt
Organism: Etheostoma spectabile (orangethroat darter)
Lineage: Eukaryota; Metazoa; Chordata; Actinopteri; Perciformes; Percidae
Exons: 3
Source: RefSeq, a predicted model, not a curated record
UGAUCUGGCAUUGUUUAGCCAGGUAUCAAGAAAGAUGUUACUGUGCCACCAUGAGGUUACUGUACUCUGGCUUUGUCAUACUGUCAAAGUUUGCCUCUCUUUAAUUGUCAUCAAACCAAGUAACAUACACACGACACAUCUUUGAAUAAAGUGGCGAUGGUUCAGAUCUGUCAAUGUAAGGGACAGCCCGGAGCUUGCUAAAUUUAAUCUGUGUCACGUAGCGCUAGCGUUGAUGCUGACACACCUCCUCACUUGGCAGAUCCUCCCAUCAGACGCCGAAAACCAAUUAUUAAAUACACAAGCAUCCUACCUUUCCAUGCAAUCUAAUAUAAUCCACGGAAGAUAGCAAUGCACGUCAUCUGCUAUAUCCACAACAAUCAAUACAUGUUUGAGCCAUAUUUACGUCUUGCAGGUGUUCAUGUCAGAUCUUACAAAAAUCCAUAAAAGCACUAAGCUAGUUAACGCUAAUGGCUGUACAAAGUAGGCUAACCUAAAUGUUAUCUCAUAAUUAAAAAGCAGUAAUCCAAGUCGAGUUCUUUGACUGUGAAUCUUGAGCAGUUUGGUGGCCCUUAACCCUUAA